AUUGAACGCUGGCGGCAUGCUUUACACAUGCCAGUCGAACGGCAGCGCGGGCUUCGGCCUGGCGGCGAGUGGCGAACGGGUGAGUAAUACAUCGGAACGUGCCCAGUAGUGGGGGAUAGCUCGGCGAAAGCCGGAUUAAUACCGCAUACGACCUGAGGGUGAAAGCGGGGGAUCUUCGGACCUCGCGCUAUUGGAGCGGCCGAUGGCAGAUUAGCUAGUUGGUGGGGUAAAGGCCUACCAAGGCGACGAUCUGUAGCUGGUCUGAGAGGACGACCAGCCACACUGGGACUGAGACACGGCCCAGACUCCUACGGGAGGCAGCAGUGGGGAAUUUUGGACAAUGGGUGAAAGCCUGAUCCAGCAAUGCCGCGUGUGUGAUGAAGGCCUUCGGGUUGUAAAGCACUUUUGGCGGGAACGAAAAGGACUGUGCCAAUACCACGGUUCGAUGACGGUACCCGCAGAAUAAGCACCGGCUAACUACGUG
RNAcentral lists this ribosomal RNA (484 nucleotides) under uncultured bacterium. RNAcentral describes it as "partial 16S ribosomal RNA". It matches the Rfam family "Bacterial small subunit ribosomal RNA", at positions 29 to 507 of the family's 1533-position model. The record is from RNAcentral.